GUGGGGAAUCUUGCGCAAUGGGCGAAAGCCUGACGCAGCCAUGCCGCGUGGAUGAUGAAGGUCUUAGGAUUGUAAAAUCCUUUCACCGGUGAAGAUAAUGACUGUAGCCGGAGAAGAAGCUCCGGCUAACUUCGUGCCAGCAGCCGCGGUAAUACGAAGGGGGCUAGCGUUGCUCGGAAUUACUGGGCGUAAAGGGCGCGUAGGCGGACAGCUUAGUCAGAGGUGAAAGCCCAGGGCUCAACCUUGGAAUUGCCUUUGAUACUGGCUGUCUUGAGUUUGGGAGAGGUGAGUGGAACUCCGAGUGUAGAGGUGAAAUUCGUAGAUAUUCGGAAGAACACCAGUGGCGAAGGCGACUCACUGGCCCAAUACUGACGCUGAGGCGCGAAAGCGUGGGGAGCAAACAGGAUUAGAAACCCCGGUAGUCC
RNAcentral lists this ribosomal RNA (425 nucleotides) under uncultured bacterium. RNAcentral's name for it is "partial 16S ribosomal RNA". It matches the Rfam family "Bacterial small subunit ribosomal RNA", at positions 354 to 796 of the family's 1533-position model. The record is from RNAcentral.